This 672-nucleotide long non-coding RNA is filed under the name Daucus carota (carrot). RNAcentral describes it as "long non-coding RNA (DCAR_LNC007652)". The record is from RNAcentral. Lineage: Eukaryota; Viridiplantae; Streptophyta; Magnoliopsida; Apiales; Apiaceae.
CCGCAAAAUAGAAACAUCACUAAUAUAUUAAUACGGCUAAGAGACCGCAGAAGGUUGCAACAGACUGAUCAGUAAAGAUUGAAGCUAUUAGGCGAAAUAAUGAUGUAGACAGUUGAUUCACAAAAGUAGGGCUGUAAUUCGAGUCGAGCCGGGCGAGUUUCGAGCCGAGCCUAAUUCGAGCCAACUUUAAUCGAGCCGAGCCGAGCCGGCUCGAUUAACUAAUCGAGCCUAAAUCUUUGCCCGAACUCAACUCGGUUAAUUUCACGAGUCGAGUCGAGCCGGCUCGUUUAGCUAAACGAGCCGGUUUUAACGAGCCGAGCGAGCCAACUCGUAUAAUUUUACACUUAAUCGAGCCCAAACCUCUACCCGAACUCGGCUCGUUUAAUUUCACGAAUCGAGUCGAGCCGGCUCGUUUAAUUAAACGAGCCGAAACCUUUACCCGAACUCGGCUCGUUUAAUGAGUCGAGCCGAGUCGAGCCCACUUAAACGAGUUCGAGCCGGGCGAGCUCGCGAGCCGCCCGACUCGAAUUACAGCUCUACACAAAAUCAAGGAGUAGUAUCUAGUGAAACAACCUAUAGCACUAAAUAACAAUAGAUAAAAAAGACGUGUAGUUAAAUAUUUCUAUGAAACUUUACCUUUCAGGUUCAGGACUGUAACCUAUAACAUACUCG